UGGGGAAUUUUGGACAAUGGGGGCAACCCUGAUCCAGCAAUGCCGCGUGUGUGAAGAAGGCCUUCGGGUUGUAAAGCACUUUUGUCCGGAAGGAAAACGUCGUGGUUAAUACCCGUGCGGCUGACGGUACCGGAAGAAUAAGCACCGGCUAACUACGUGCCAGCAGCCGCGGUAAUACGUAGGGUGCAAGCGUUAAUCGGAAUUACUGGGCGUAAAGCGUGCGCAGGCGGUCCGCUAAGACAGAUGUGAAAAUCCCCGGGCUUAACCUGGGAACUGCAUUUGUGACUGGCGGGCUAGAGUAUGGCAGAGGGGGGUANAAUUCCACGUGUAGCAGUGAAAUGCGUAGAGAUGUGGAGGAAUACCGAUGGCGAAGGCAGCCCCCUGGGCCAAUACUGACGCUCAUGCACGAAAAGCGUGGGGGAGCAAACAGGAUUAGAUACCCUGGUAGUCCACGCCCUAAACGAUGUC
RNAcentral lists this ribosomal RNA (468 nucleotides) under uncultured bacterium. RNAcentral's name for it is "partial 16S ribosomal RNA". It matches the Rfam family "Bacterial small subunit ribosomal RNA", at positions 355 to 813 of the family's 1533-position model. The record is from RNAcentral.